AGUGAACGCUGGCGGUAGGCCUAACACAUGCAAGUCGAACGGCAGCACAGUAAGAGCCUGCUCUUACGGGUGGCGAGUGGCGGACGGGUGAGGAAUACAUCGGAAUCUACUUUUUCGUGGGGGAUAACGUAGGGAAACUUACGCUAAUACCGCAUACGACCUACGGGUGAAAGCAGGGGAUCUUCGGACCUUGCGCGAUUGAAUGAGCCGAUGUCGGAUUAGCUAGUUGGCGGGGUAAAGGCCCACCAAGGCGACGAUCCGUAGCUGGUCUGAGAGGAUGAUCAGCCACCCUGGAACUGAGACACGGUCCAGACUCCUACGGGAGGCAGCAGUGGGGAAUAUUGGACAAUGGGCGCAAGCCUGAUCCAGCCAUACCGCGUGGGUGAAGAAGGCCUUCGGGUUGUAAAGCCCUUUUGUUGGGAAAGAAAAGCAGCAGGUUAAUACCCCGCUGUUCUGACGGUACCCAAAGAAUAAGCACCGGCUAACUUCGUG
RNAcentral lists this ribosomal RNA (492 nucleotides) under uncultured bacterium. RNAcentral's name for it is "partial 16S ribosomal RNA". It matches the Rfam family "Bacterial small subunit ribosomal RNA", at positions 29 to 507 of the family's 1533-position model. The record is from RNAcentral.